UUAGGCAAUGUCUUUCUUUUAAAAACUAAAAAAGUUGGUAGUUUUGUGCCACCAGUGCAGCAUACCAAUACAACUGUGUAGUGUGUCUUUUCAUGGUCACAUGUUUUAACAGUCACAGUUUUAGCACCCUUGCAAUUUACCAUCUUGUUUGGUGGCAUAUCAAAUGUCAGAGACUUCAUCUAUAUAUGUUAUCUAUGAAAGUUCAAAAUUAACUACUUUUCUUGCAUUAAUGACAUACUUGUGAAACUUAAGUAUUUAGUCUCUGUAUUCAGGGGACAUGUUUUGGUGCUAUUCUUGUCCUAGCCCUCAUACAGAGGUUAUUUCUCCUCAAAUCUGGAGCAUCAUGAUAUCUCUAUCCAUUACUAUAAAUCUUGAAUGGUACAUAAUCAUUUUAGCGGAUACUGAAAAGCCUGGUCUUCUUUGGUCUAAAUCCCAUGUUUUUGAUUCUUCUUCUAGCUCAGGCCACUUUACAACUCCCCUACAGAGGCAGUGUUUGCUAUGUUUAGCAACUUUCUGCUGCUCCUCUUGUUCCCUCCAUGUCCUUACCAUUUUCUCAGUUGGUGGUGGACCAAAAUACCAAGCAGCUGCCCUAUUAGCAUGGUCUUUUGCAUAUGCUGUGACAUCUGGUUUAAAUUUGAUGUUAUAACAGUGCCUUUUUUGUUUUUCAGCCAUGGGUUUGGACUCUGUAUGAAAUUUACCGUAAAUAAACUUACCAGUAUGUUAUGGGAAACUGUACCCCUACUCUUGCCUCUUCUCAGAUCAGCUGUAUAGUUGUUUAUAUUUUGAGCAAGAGAAUUGCAAUACAGGAUGUGAAACUCGUAUAUCUGGAUGUGAUGUUUUGUGUUACCAUGACAGGCCACAGUGUGGAAAAUAAGAGAAAAAGGAUUAAAAGAGCCAAACAAAAGUGAAUGACCAAGAAAGGAACACAACAGGAAAGAGGGGGCUGUCGUAAAAGUAAAGCCUCUGAUACAUCAUCUGAUCUGAUCAUUGCAAAUGGCUGCUAUUUCUAGGAGCAUUUUUCAUUUAGAUAAUGAACAAAUGUUUCUUAAAGGUAACCCAGUCAUUAAAUAAUGCAUACAUAUAUCAGGGUUAUGUAUGUUGGGGAAGGAGACCUGUGAUGAUGGAUUGCCAAGCAGAAAAAAAAAAAGCUUCUCUUUGCUUUCAAUCAG
Molecule: long non-coding RNA, 1169 nt
Organism: Octopus sinensis (East Asian common octopus)
Lineage: Eukaryota; Metazoa; Mollusca; Cephalopoda; Octopoda; Octopodidae
Exons: 2
Source: RefSeq, a predicted model, not a curated record